UUAAAUUGAAGAGUUUGAUCAUGGCUCAGAUUGAACGCUGGCGGCAGGCCUAACACAUGCAAGUCGAACGGUAGCAGGAAGCAGCUUGCUGCUU
Molecule: ribosomal RNA, 94 nt
Filed under: Escherichia coli
Lineage: Bacteria; Pseudomonadati; Pseudomonadota; Gammaproteobacteria; Enterobacterales; Enterobacteriaceae
Also listed under: 3 other names
Description: partial 16S ribosomal RNA
Rfam family: Bacterial small subunit ribosomal RNA
Source: RNAcentral